This 73-nucleotide transfer RNA is filed under the name Candidatus Hodgkinia cicadicola. Its description in RNAcentral is "tRNA-Ala". It matches the Rfam family "tRNA". From Rfam's summary of the family: Transfer RNA (tRNA) molecules are approximately 80 nucleotides in length. Lineage: Bacteria; Pseudomonadati; Pseudomonadota; Alphaproteobacteria; Hyphomicrobiales. The record is from RNAcentral.
GCUCGCACAGCUUAGCUGGUAAAGCGCAGCCUUUGCAAGAUUGCGAUCGGGUGUUCGAGUCACCUUGUUCGCU